Molecule: long non-coding RNA, 1475 nt
Filed under: Cyanistes caeruleus (blue tit)
Lineage: Eukaryota; Metazoa; Chordata; Aves; Passeriformes; Paridae
Description: lncRNA (ENSCCEG00000014019.1)
Source: RNAcentral
CCAUCCUGAAGAGGGCUCUCCUCCCUGAAAGCCUUUGCCAUAUCCCUGAUGACCUAAGGACCUGGACUUUACAAGGCAGAUGGAUGAACCUUUCCUAUGGCCAUUGCUUUGUUCCUCUGGAAUACACCCAAAACAGCCCAGUGUCAUCAGCAAAUCUUGGAAAUGGAACUCAAUUUCAAGCAGUGGAAAACUGUUUAUGGAGCUCAGUGUGUUCUUGUCUGCUGUUGUGUUCAGCACUCAUAUGAUGUUUAAUUGAAAUCAAUACAGCUUCAUUUUUAAGUGAGUGUUUAAGUCUUGAUGCCAAAUUGUGAAGGCCUCACACAGCUCCGUUGUCUUCUGUAUCCAUGAUGUGUCCCAUCCAAAAAUCCCAAAUAUUUCUAUGGACACCAUCUCCUGUGCUGCUGAACAGGCUGCUGGCACUGCCUUGUUCCUGCAGCCUGGUCUUCCUGUUGCAUAAAACAUUUGCAGAUUUCAAAACCAGUUUAAGAAAUAUUUCUGUUAUUCUUUCUAAUCCUUAAACCAGUGGCCUGGCGCUUUGCCUAGAUUGCAAAUAUCAAAGAGCUGAUUGAAACACUCUGGACUCUCCUGACCUCAUAAAGAACACUCUGUAAUCCUUUUGUUAUGCAAGAAUUAGUUUCUCCUGAGCUAUGACAAUUUAUGGAUAGGAGAGGAUAGUGUUUUGUGUGUGAACCAAAAGCUCUGUGUUUCUUUCAGGAGGCAGAAGUUCCUUUGGGCCUUAUCAUGUGGAUGAUGACUGGGUUUGUCACUUGCAGCUUCACAACAAUGCUACUGCUCAUGGGCUGCAGUGGGUCUCACUGCUGUACAUGCACACAGCCUCCUGCUCUGACUGCAAGGUUCAUGACUGCCUCUUGAGGAGGCUGGAUUUCCCAAAUACACACACACUAGGUGUGGGUGGUGCAGCCAGAAAAGCUGCUGUUUAUGGUUUGCUCCCAACCAGGUGCAAGACUAUGAAGUAACAAGGGUAGCCUCCUUUCUUUCACACUCUGUUUUCAGAAAUGGGCUAGAGCACAGCUGCUUUUGCCACUUGUCUCCAGGUCAGUCUGGACUGUGGCAGGGAAAGGGCAGUGUGUCCUCAGAAGUGAUAGCCAGGAAAUGACAACAUUUUCAUCGUCCUGCAGUCCCCUUCUAUAGGCAUCACAUGUGACAUGUUGAGCAUUCCUACCCUGAAGAAGAAAUAUCCCCUAUCUGCAUAUUGUGGUGAUUGAAAAAAAAGAAAAAAGAAAAAGAAGAAAGGAAAAAGGAAAAAAACCAGCCCAGACCUGUGUGAAAAUGCCAAGUAAAUUAAGACCUCUCAUCAAAAGCAAAACAGUCUUGACUCAUGGAUUGUAAUUUAGUUUAAUUCAAUUCAAUUCUUUUCCGAUUAACAGAAGAUUUUAAGAUCUACUUUGGCUAAUGAGGGGAAUUAUAAGGGGCUGAUCAAUAAAACAAACCCUGAGGGAAAUGUCUUUCUUCCC